GACGAACGCUGGCGGCGUGCUUAACACAUGCAAGUCGAACGGAAAGGCCCUGCUUUUGUGGGGUGCUCGAGUGGCGAACGGGUGAGUAACACGUGAGUAACCUGCCCUUGACUUUGGGAUAACUUCAGGAAACUGGGGCUAAUACCGGAUAGGAGCUCCUGCUGCAUGGUGGGGGUUGGAAAGUUUCGGCGGUUGGGGAUGGACUCGCGGCUUAUCAGCUUGUUGGUGGGGUAGUGGCUUACCAAGGCUUUGACGGGUAGCCGGCCUGAGAGGGUGACCGGCCACAUUGGGACUGAGAUACGGCCCGGACUCCAACGGGAGGCAGCAGUGGGGAAUAUUGCACAAUGGGCGGAAGCCUGAUGCAGCAACGCCGCGUGCGGGAUGACGGCCUUCGGGUUGUAAACCGCUUUCGCCUGUGACGAAGCGUGAGUGACGGUAAUGGGUAAAGAAGCACCGGCUAACUCCGUG
RNAcentral lists this ribosomal RNA (468 nucleotides) under uncultured bacterium. RNAcentral's name for it is "partial 16S ribosomal RNA". It matches the Rfam family "Bacterial small subunit ribosomal RNA", at positions 28 to 507 of the family's 1533-position model. The record is from RNAcentral.